UACGUAGGGUGCAAGCGUUAAUCGGAAUUACUGGGCGUAAAGCGUGCGCAGGCGGUUAUGUAAGACAGAUGUGAAAUGCCCGGGCUUAACCUGGGAACUGCAUUUGUGACUGCAAGGCUAGAGUUUGGCAGAGGGGGGUAGAAUUCCACGUGUAGCAGUGAAAUGCGUAGAUAUGUGGAGGAAUACCGAUGGCGAAGGCAGCCCCCUGGGUCAAGACUGACGCUCAUGCACGAAAGCGUGGGGAGCAAACAGG
RNAcentral lists this ribosomal RNA (253 nucleotides) under uncultured bacterium. RNAcentral's name for it is "partial 16S ribosomal RNA". It matches the Rfam family "Bacterial small subunit ribosomal RNA", at positions 524 to 776 of the family's 1533-position model. The record is from RNAcentral.